Molecule: ribosomal RNA, 429 nt
Filed under: Fusobacteriota bacterium
Lineage: Bacteria; Fusobacteriati; Fusobacteriota
Description: Fusobacteria bacterium partial 16S ribosomal RNA
Rfam family: Bacterial small subunit ribosomal RNA
Source: RNAcentral
UGGGGAAUCUUCCGCAAUGGACGAAAGUCUGACGGAGCAACGCCGCGCGAGUGAAGACGGCCUUCGGGUUGUAAAGCUCUGUGAUCCGGGACGAAAGAGCCUGAGGUAAAUAGCCUAAGGAAGUGACGGUACCGGAAAAGCAAGCCACGGCUAACUACGUGCCAGCAGCCGCGGUAAUACGUAGGUGGCAAGCGUUGUCCGGAAUUAUUGGGCGUAAAGCGCGCGCAGGCGGCUUCCUAAGUCCAUCUUAAAAGUGCGGGGCUUAACCCCGUGAUGGGAUGGAAACUGGGAAGCUGGAGUAUCGGAGAGGAAAGUGGAAUUCCUAGUGUAGCGGUGAAAUGCGUAGAGAUUAGGAAGAACACCGGUGGCGAAGGCGACUUUCUGGACGAAAACUGACGCUGAGGCGCGAAAGCGUGGGGAGCAAACAGG